CGUAACUUGCGUAAGCGUAACUUGCGCCAAAUUCCGUCAGCCAAUCAAAUCGUUUCAUCUACUAUAUGCAUAUCCGCUUAGUUAUUUAACGCAUUUUACGCUUUUGCCGAUACGCCAAAUCCAAUUUUUCACGUAAAUCGGUAAUGCAUAUGUAUUAGUGAUGUGUGUGUACGUGCGAUCACCAAGUAUUGUAAUGUAAUUUGACUCACGAAAAUUAGAAAAAAUGGAUCAAAUUCGGUUAAAAAAAAUCCAAUGGUUGACAGAAAAGAAAAUUUGGAUGAACUAUUAAUCGAAGCAGUUAGAAGCAAACGUGGGCUGUAUGAUUCUUGUAUACCUGCUUCAGAGAGAACUAUGUUGCGCAAAAAUGCAUUAUAGAUGAAAGUUUCGAAUAUAUUACAAGGAUUUCUCAGUCCAGAGAAAGCUAAAGCUCGAUAGAAGUAUCUGUGAGAUAAUUAUAUAAAAGCUCGCAAGAAGAUUCGAGCAUACAUACCCAGUGGAUCGGCAGCUACUGCUACUAAAACCAAUAAUAACUCGAGGUUUCAAUAUUAUGAGCUUAUGAGAUUCCUGAACGAAUCAUUGCAAACACGACAGAUAGUAAGUUCAUUAUCAGAUGCCAGUGCUAAGAAUGAAGUAGUCACUUCAUUUGACACAGAAAAUGAGCAACACAAAAGUAAUGCUAUAGCUGGACCUUCGAAAGCGCUUCACACACAGAUUUCAGCCAGCAACAAUUCUCCACAGACUUCCUUAUGUGUUCCUUCACGGACGCCGACACCUACAAAUAUUUCUCUACAGUCGCUCGAUUCUGACGUUUUUUCACAAACCCCGACAUUCACAAAAGAUUUUUCAUCAACUGAAAAUAGAGUACCUACACGAACACAAACUACAAAAUUGAAACGUUUGUUUAUUUAUUAAAUAAAAAGAGCCAAUACGAGCCGUAAACAAAGUAUCCGUGUUUAAAUAUUUUGUUCUAUGUUUAACGUCAAACAAUGUCAACAACGUUUUCAAAACGAUAAAGAUUUUAAAACGUUAAACAUAGAAUAAAUCAUUUAAACACAGACUCUGUUUACGUCUCGUAUUGGCCUUUUUUUAUUUAUUAAAUUUUACAAGCAGAAAUAAAUAAUAAUUUGUUUAUUUAUUUUCAUUUGUCGGAGUUUUUAUAAUUUUUACAGCAAAAAUGACAUUUUAAUUUCUUUGUAGAAUCGGAGCAAAUCUUUUUUGACGAUUACGAGCCGCCUGCAAAAAGUAAAUGUUUUUAAAUUUAAGUUUUUUAUUAUAUUGAUGUACAAUAAAAUAUUUCUAUUAUUAA
Pseudomyrmex gracilis is the source of this 1306-nucleotide long non-coding RNA. RefSeq lists it as uncharacterized. The transcript is spliced from 4 exons. NCBI's taxonomy places the organism in Eukaryota, Metazoa, Arthropoda, Insecta, Hymenoptera, Formicidae. The record is from RefSeq and is a predicted model, not a curated record.